GGGUUUGUAAGAUUUUUUUAUUUUUUAAAUUUUUGACCUUGAUAUGACCUUUGGAGUUUGGCCAUGUCCACUUUUCUAGCUGAAACUGUGAUGUCUUGUAUCAUCCAAGUGAGCUACAGUGCCCAUGGCACUAUUUUUUUGU
Thalassophryne amazonica is the source of this 142-nucleotide long non-coding RNA. RefSeq lists it as uncharacterized. The transcript is spliced from 3 exons. Lineage: Eukaryota; Metazoa; Chordata; Actinopteri; Batrachoidiformes; Batrachoididae. The record is from RefSeq and is a predicted model, not a curated record.